CCUACGGGUGGCAGCAGUGAGGAAUAUUGGUCAAUGGACGCAAGGCUGAACCAGCCACGCCGCGUGCAGGAAGACUGCCCUAUGAGUUGUAAACUUCUUUUGUAAGAGGGUAAAAUGAGGUACGUGUAUCUGUCUGUAUGUACGUUAUGAAUAAGGAUCGGCUAACUCCGUGCCAGCAGCCGCGGUAAUACGGAGGAUACAAGCUUUAUCCGGAUUUAUUGGGUUUAAAGGGAGCGUAGGUGGUCUGAUAAGUUAGAUGUGAAAGCGCGAGGCUCAACUGUGGAAUUGCAUUUGAUACUGUGAGCCUUGAGGGCAGUAGAGGUAGGCGGAAGUCAUGGUGUAGCGGUGAAAUGCUUAGAUAUCAGGCAGAACACCGAUUGCGAAGGCAGCUUACCAAGCUGCUACUGACGUUGAGGCUCGAAAGCGUGGGGAGCAAACAGGAUUAGAUACCCUAGUAGUC
RNAcentral lists this ribosomal RNA (460 nucleotides) under uncultured bacterium. RNAcentral describes it as "partial 16S ribosomal RNA". It matches the Rfam family "Bacterial small subunit ribosomal RNA", at positions 338 to 795 of the family's 1533-position model. The record is from RNAcentral.